Molecule: long non-coding RNA, 678 nt
Filed under: Malus domestica (apple)
Lineage: Eukaryota; Viridiplantae; Streptophyta; Magnoliopsida; Rosales; Rosaceae
Description: long non-coding RNA (MDOM_LNC000817)
Source: RNAcentral
GAGUUGGUUUGGUUGAUUUUAGGAAAAAUACUUACUGCUUCAGGGAUUUCUACUAGUCGUAGGUAUAAUAACUCGUACUCAUAUGCCUAUACUCAUCAAAAUGACAAGUACAAAAUCAAAAGGAAUCUUGGGAACUAGUGUUGGUUGAAAUGUUAUAAGGUCAUGAAUGGAAAUUGCUAAUAAUCUACUUCAAAAUGGGAUUUAAUAGAAUAUAAUCUUCCUCUCGAAUAUCUGGAAUUAUAAAUACGCUUGAAGGAUUAGUAUAGUCGGGGACCAAAGGUGAUUGUCCCUCAGAUAUUUUUCCAUUAAGUGUUACCACGUUAGCAUCAUAUUGUCAUUCAAGACAUUUCCAGAGAUUUCGACGAAAAGUAAAACUUCGUAGGAAUUCAAUUAGGUGGUAUACUAACAGGCACUACCAAGGAAUCAAAACUAUUUGUGGUUUCCUAUCUCGAAAGGUUUAGUAAUGAUGACAGGAGAAUAGUGAUGGGAUUGAUUGGUAAAUCUCUGGUGAUACACAACUAUCGAUACAUUAGCCCUACUUUUGGGCUAUCAACUCAUCUCAAAACUACAUAUUUCCUUGGCAGGGAGGUUCUUGUUUAAAAUAUUGAGGUGGUUGCCAAUAUGUUCUUCUAGACGAUCGAUAAGUCGUCCAAGUAACCCAAAAUUUAAAAAAUAAAA